AGAGUUUGAUCCUGGCUCAGGAUGAACGCUGGCGGCGUGCUUAACACAUGCAAGUCGAACGCUGAAGCUCCCAGCUUGCUGGGGGUGGAUGAGUGGCGAACGGGUGAGUAUCACGUGAGUAACCUGCCCUUGACUCUGGGAUAAGCCCGGGAAACUGGGUCUAAUACUGGAUAGGACUGGCCAUCGCAUGGUGGUUGGUUGAAAGCUUUUGCGGUUUUGGAUGGACUCGCGGCCUAUCAGCUUGUUGGUGGGGUAAUGGCCUACCAAGGCUUUGACGGGUAGCCGGCCUGAGAGGGUGACCGGCCACACUGGGACUGAGACACGGCCCAGACUCCUACGGGAGGCAGCAGUGGGGGAUAUUGCACAAUGGGCGCAAGCCUGAUGCAGCGACGCCGCGUGAGGGAUGACGGCCUUCGGGUUGUAAACCUCUUUCAGUUGGGAAGAAGCCUUUCGGGGUGACGGUACCUUCAGAAGAAGCACCGGCUAACUACGUGCCAGCAGCCGCGGUAAUACGUAGGGUGCGAGCGUUAUCCGGAAUUAUUGGGCGUAAAGAGCUCGUAGGCGGUUUGUCACGUCUGCUGUGAAAGCUCGGGGCUUAACUCCGAGUGUGCAGUGGGUACGGGCAGGCUGGAGUGCAGUAGGGGAGACUGGAAUUCCUGGUGUA
This 664-nucleotide ribosomal RNA is filed under the name uncultured bacterium. RNAcentral describes it as "bacterial SSU rRNA". It matches the Rfam family "Bacterial small subunit ribosomal RNA", at positions 8 to 677 of the family's 1533-position model. The record is from RNAcentral.